UACGGGGGGGGCAAGCGUUGUUCGGAAUUACUGGGCGUAAAGGGCUCGUAGGCGGCCAACUAAGUCGGACGUGAAAUCCCCAGGCUCAACCUGGGAACUGCGUCCGAUACUGGAUGGCUUGAAUUCGGGAGAGGGAUGCAGAAUUCCAGGUGUAGCGGUGAAAUGCGUAGAUAUCUGGAGGAAUACCAGUGGCGAAGGCGAGUCCCUGGACAAUUCCUGACACUGAGGCACGAAAGCCAAGGGAGCAAACAGG
Molecule: ribosomal RNA, 253 nt
Filed under: uncultured bacterium
Lineage: Bacteria
Description: partial 16S ribosomal RNA
Rfam family: Bacterial small subunit ribosomal RNA
Source: RNAcentral